Molecule: long non-coding RNA, 3526 nt
Organism: Puntigrus tetrazona (Sumatra barb)
Lineage: Eukaryota; Metazoa; Chordata; Actinopteri; Cypriniformes; Cyprinidae
Exons: 3
Source: RefSeq, a predicted model, not a curated record
UACAGUUUGUCUCGUGUAUAUACAGCAUUGCUCCAUCAGAUCAAAGAAACUAUGUAAAAAUCUACAACUACAAAGUCUCAUUCAAGUUAAGAAUGUUCUCCAAACAUUUUUACAAAUGUUAUCACAAUAUAUUUUUUUCUGAAUGUUAAGUGCAUUGGCAUAAAUAACAAAACAAAAUAAUUCAACACAUUUAUGAAACCCGAGUAUCGCAUAGUUCUCCUUUGACUAAAAGCCAUCUCACAGACUUCCUGUUAAACCAUGGCUGACCUCAUCAUGUUUUACAUGGAAAAUCGAUGCACCCAGUGCAGUAAGGAAGAAUUCCAUCAAUCCUUUGGGAAUAAGAGCCCUACAAAUAUCCCUCCAUUAAUGUGCACAUUAGUACAACAAAAACAAACUAAAUGAAGAUGCAAGUUGUAAUAUUUUAUAAACCGUCUUUUCAAAUACUGAAAAGAAGUUGCAUUUUAAAAUAACCUAAACAUUUAAGCCAUAAAAUAAUUCAGAUGAACAAGCAAACGAACAUCAAAGGACAAACCAGAAAUUCAAACCACAUGAUAAGAAGCGGUUUUAGAAAUGAAAAACUUUUAAAUCUAAUUUAAAGUUUAAUAGUAAGUAAAGGUUAUACAUAAUGCAAAUCAAAUGUGUUCUCUUUUUAAACUAAGCUGAAGUAUCUAAUCUGCCAGAACUACCAGAACCAAAGCAUGUUUUGUUCAUACAGCAAAUUUAGGCCAAACUCCUAUAAAUAGGACAAAGUCACCUAAUCUGCUCUUCUUCUUCUUCUUUUUUUUUUUUUUUUUUUUUUUUUUUUUUACUUUUUUUUAGCUACUGCAGUUAAAUAGCUGCAAAUGAUAUAGUCAGGAUAUUGCAUUAUGGUACAUUCUUGAUAAGUGUUCAACACCAAUCAAAACACUUCUAAGAAUAAGAUGCCUGCCUCCUUAUAUGAAAGAUACAUAAUGAAAUAAUCAGUAGUAAAAAAAAAAAAAAAAAAAUCAAUGAACUGCUAAAAUAAAUACAUAAUUAAAACAUUAUUUAAGUUUGAAAAUAUGUCAGUCUUUCUACUUUCAACUUUCCAAAAUAUGUAGUUAUUUCUGUGUAUAGGCCUAUUACUUAAGACAUUUACAUUUAAGACAAUUUUUUCAAAGUGUACAGAUUUUAGUCUGCUGUAUCUGACAAUUGUAUCCCGUAAUAAAGACUUUACUCUACUUUUUCACUCCUGUGAUCAGAUUUGCCAAAGCUCCAAAACAGUUCACACUGUUUUAUAAAUCUAUUUAGCAAUGGUCUGAUCACUUAUCCUAAAGAGAAACACCUGAUAGAUAAAUUCAGCUAAAAAGAACAAGCUCUAAACAAUAAAUCGUCCCUGUCCACCUACACUACAUGCAGCAUCUUAUGUGCGUUCUGCAGCAGCCUACCUCAAAAAUGCCAUAACGGAGGCAGCACGCUUACGCUUUGAGCUACGGUCUGCGCGUGUCUUUGAGACUGAGAGCUCUCGUCUUUGAAACUUUGUGAGCCAUUUCUCUGCAGCAGGAGGCUGGUUCGUGCAUUCUACCUUGUCAUCAGCACUGCCGUCAUCCUGAGCAUCGCUCGCCGCUGCAGUGGGCUCCUCCGCCGCUGCGUCCUCCUCACAUCUCCCGUCCCGUUGCGCGGAUGAUGCUGUAGUUCCCAUUUCACAAUCCCUCUCUCGUCCUCUUCAGCUUGUUCCUUUACGACUGCAGAGCGGGGGUAUCCCAAGAUGAGCGCUGAGCGGUGGUCGGACUCAGAAAUGAUGCAGUUUGGCUCGAUGCAAACUCUUUUAGGACGCAUCCUUCCUGCAUCACAUGAACGCACUGGCACGCCUCGACGCAACGAGAGUCCUGGGAUGACCGAGGGACAACCUCUACAAUCAACGUUUUUAUCCUAUGAUUAUGUUUGUUUAUCCAUCGCGUGCCCGGUCUUGUGAAAAUCCGUCUAAAUAGCGUGCCAAAUAAAAAAAGGAAAACUCGUGGUAUUGAUACGCAAACAUGGACUUUGGCGUAUAUAUGACACGCACGUGUUUGGCGCGCAUACAAUACGCAGUUUUCGCCUGCAUAUGCUAAGAAAUUUGUUUUCGUGUAUAUGAUACGCAUCUACCCCACAACCUUAAUACUGUUCAUCGCGUAGCAUAUACACAACAUAAUCUAUUUUCGAAGAGUUUUCUUUUUUAUUUGGCGUGCUAUUUAUACGCGCAUUGAGAUCGUACAGGCAUGGUUACAUUAAAGCACUCGAAAUAUCUGUAUGGGAUAACUAAUGGGUCACUUAAGCAUAUUCAAUCCUAUUAAAUCAUUUAGAACAGAAAACUAUAACAAUCAAAUGUCAAACCAGAAUUCAUAUUCAUUUAUAUCAAUUAUUUAUUAUGAAAUGGUGAUAAGUAUGUGGAGACUUCCUAAAUAAUAACAGGUGUUUUAUAUUAACAGGUUUCCCUAUUCCACCAAGUCUAGACGAAUAUUAAUGGAAUUCUACAAAAUUCUGUUCUUCCAGCUUUAUUGCAAAGGUUUGAGAUGGGUGACUUUCUGUUCAAAAAGCAAGCAAAAAGGACAAACCUUUCCUGAUUUACUUGAUGUGUGUAGAAGAUACUUCAAACACAAUCUCCUCAUUUAGGAUCGGUCUGAACUCCAGCCAAUAUCAAUACUUUAAAAGGCAUCAAGUUAAACGGAAAUGGAAGGUUACUGCGCCGGGCAAUUACUGAGCCAAGAAAGACCUCCAAACACAUGACAAACAUGAACGCUAAUUCAAUCAAAGGCCCUGAAACACAUGAGCCGCUGUGGAGAUUCUCAUACUAAGUUAACAGGAUCAGUUAAUUCGAGUCACAGUUCGCCUAACCAGAACCAGCUGAUGUUUUCUUCAGACAUAACACGGUUUAGAAGUCCCCGGAAUCAGGAAGAAACGAUGCCUGUGAAUAAUCCACGUCCCUCUCAUAGCGUCUGUUCAUCGGACCUCGUUUUGCAACCAAUUCGUUUGUCCAGAGUGUCGCCGAUCACAGAUUUAACGAAGCACGUUUGACAAGCAUACAUAUGUUUGCAUUAAAAAUAACCUGGGGUAAUGGAAUGGGAAUUUCCAAGUUCUCAGGACGCUGGAUUGCACGAUUCUGUGUUGUGUUUACUCGCUAAUGGUAAGAGGGUUACGUGUAUCCAAUUUGGUCUAAUUUAAUGCAAGCAAACUUACAUAAGGACUGAGAGCUGGGGGGACCUUUAAGAAAAAGUGUUUGUGUGUGUGUGUGUGUGUGUGUGUGUGUACGUUUUUAUUUAUUGCUCCAAACCAGCACCCCGAACUCAAGAAUUGUUUAAGCUGCUACAUUUUCAUUCUUUUAAUAAACUUUGCUGCACGAAAAACUAGGUUGACGACCUCAACCUGGCUAAAAAUAGAUCCAGCAGAAAAAAAAAUACAUGUUAAUGUGCAUUUUACACCCGAAGCACGUUUUCAUCGUGUGGAAUUUGUAAUUCAGAUUAAACCUGUAUUGCUUUCUAUGCAUCAUAUCACAUUAUCGAACUGAAUAAAAGUAAAAGUUUGUCGUUUG